This 1043-nucleotide ribosomal RNA is filed under the name uncultured organism. Its description in RNAcentral is "bacterial SSU rRNA". It matches the Rfam family "Bacterial small subunit ribosomal RNA", at positions 21 to 1072 of the family's 1533-position model. The record is from RNAcentral.
GGCUCAGGACGAACGCUGGCGGCGUGGUUAAGACAUUGCAAGUCGAACGAGAAGCUCCCUUCGGGGAGUGGAGAGUGGCGCACGGGUGAGUAACACGUGAGCAACCUGCCGGGAAGCCCGGGAUAGCCCUCCGAAAGGAGGAUUAAUACUGGAUGUGGCCACCCUGCGAUUGCGGGGGAAGCUAAAGGAUUAUUCACUUCCCGAGGGGCUCGCGGCCCAUCAGCUUGUUGGUGAGGGUAACGGCCCACCAAGGCGACAACGGGUAGCUGGUCUGAGAGGAUGGUCAGCCACACUGGAACUGAGACACGGUCCAGACACCUACGGGUGGCAGCAGUCGAGAAUCAUUCGCAAUGGGGGAAACCCUGACGAUGCGACGCCGCGUGGAGGAUGAAGGCCUUAGGGUUGUAAACUCCUGUCAAGAGGGAAUAAGCAAGUGAAGGUACCUCUAGAGGAAGGGGCGGCUAAUUCCGUGCCAGCAGCCGCGGUAACACGGAAGCCCCGAGCGUUGUUCGGAUUCAUUGGGCGUAAAGGGUGCGUAGGCGGCGCGGAAAGUCCGGCGUGAAAGGCAGGGGCUCAACCUCUGGACUGCGUUGGAUACUUCCGUGCUUGAGGACUGGAGGGGAGACUGGAAUUCACGGUGUAGCAGUGAAAUGCGUAGAUAUCGUGAGGAAGACCGGUGGCGAAGGCGAGUCUCUGGACAGAUCCUGACGCUGAGGCACGAAGGCUGGGGGAGCGAACAGGAUUAGAUACCCUGGUAGUCCCAGCAGUAAACGAUGUGAGCUUGAUGUGGGGGGAUUCGACCCCUUCCGUGUCGAAGCUAACGCGAUAAGCUCACCGCCUGAGGAGUACGGCCGCAAGGCUAAAACUCAAAGAAAUUGACGGGGACCCGCACAAGCGGUGGAGUAUGUGGCUUAAUUCGAUGCAACGCGAAGAACCUUACCUGGCCUUGACAUGCAUUGUGUCGUCGGUGAAAGCCGGCUAGUCCUGGAAACAGGACGCUUUGCACAGGUGCUGCAUGGCUGUCGUCAGCUCGUGUCGUGAGA